UCUCCGUAGGUGAACCUGCGGAGGGAUCAUUACCAGAGAUGGCGGGCCUCCGUGCCCCCGUCCCCAACCCAUUGUUGACCAAAACCUUUUUGCCUCGGGGGCAGAGCGUCCGCCGCCGCCCCCGGAGGACCACCGAACGCUGUCUCUAUACGUCGGAGUAUUGAUUAAAUGAAUGAAAAUUUUCAACAACGGAUCUCUUGGUUCUG
RNAcentral lists this unclassified non-coding RNA (206 nucleotides) under plant metagenome. RNAcentral describes it as "partial contains small subunit ribosomal RNA, internal transcribed spacer 1, and 5.8S ribosomal RNA". The record is from RNAcentral.